This 253-nucleotide ribosomal RNA is filed under the name uncultured bacterium. RNAcentral describes it as "partial 16S ribosomal RNA". It matches the Rfam family "Bacterial small subunit ribosomal RNA", at positions 524 to 776 of the family's 1533-position model. The record is from RNAcentral.
UACGUAGGUGGCAAGCAUUGUCCGGAUUUACUGGGCGUAAAGAGCGCGCAGGCGGUCGUCCAAGUCGCGUGUGAAAGCCCCCGGCUCAACUGGGGAGGGUCACGCGAUACUGGUCGACUCGAAGGCAGGAGAGGGUAGUGGAAUUCCCGGUGUAGUGGUGAAAUGCGUAGAUAUCGGGAGGAACACCAGUGGCGAAGGCGACUACCUGGCCUGUUCUUGACGCUGAGGCGCGAAAGCUAGGGGAGCAAACGGG